UUGUGGUGGUACUAGGGAUUGAACCUGAGGACUUAUACUAAGCUAUACCUCCAGCCCUUUUCAAAAUUUGUUUUUUUGUUUGUUUGAGACAGGGUCUUGCUACAUAAUUGAGGCUGGUCUUGAACUCACUGUGUAGUCCAGGCUGGCCUUGAACUCAAGGCAAUACUCCUGUCCUGCCUCGAGUGCUGGGAUUACAGGCAUGUGACACCAAAUCUAGUUGUUUGGGUUAUUUUGGGGUUUUUUUUGUUUUUUUUUUUUUAAUUUUGAGACUGGAUCUCACUAAAUUGCCUAGACUGACCUCCAACUUGCAAUUCUCUUGCCUCAGUCUUUCAAGUAGACAGGGUCACAGUGAGUGCCAUUAAGCCUAGUUUAAAUCUAUACCUUUCUUUAUCUACCACUACAUUAAACUAAUGUAAAUAAGUAUCAAACAGAAAUUAUAACGCUUCCUGAACAUAUUAGACAUGUAUUGUGUUUGAAGGGCUUACCCAUGUGAACCCAGAGUAUUAAAAAAGUACUAAAUGCCCUUUCUGUUUCUACCAAAACAGGUUGCCGACUGCCUUAAAAGGCGCUGCUGUGGGCUGCACUUUCUUACAAACUUUGUAAUGACAUCAAAUACAGCAGUAUAUACAGGGCAGUCAUGGUUAAAUGUGCAGCUCCCUUUGAAUUAAACCAAGACCUUUGAUCAUUUGCAUUUCAUAAUUUUUAGCCCCAGCAAUGGCUUUAUACAAACACAAUGGCAUGGUCUCUGUUGUUGGAAGUUUGCUACUGACCUUCCAAAGUGUUUGAUGAGAACUGUGACAGGGCAAACAGAAGCAAUGUCAAAGAACAGUCAAGGGCAAUUACUAGAGAAUCGGCCUUUUAGGUUUCAUGCCUGCUUCUGCUACCUACAUAGGCAAGUCACUCAACUACUUAGAGAAUUAAAUGAGUUAAAUGACCUGAAGGAGGUUGUAAAAAACUGAAGAGUUCCAUGAAUGCACCUGUACACAGGGCCUUCAGGAUGCACACAGUAAACAUCAGGGAACAUGUCAAGAAUAGUCUGCAUAUCCUGGAAGAAAAGUCCAAGAUGAAGACAGCAUUACUCACUGGCUCCAUGAUGCUCUUAUCCUGCUUUCUUAUCUCCACUCAGAAAUCCUACCCUUCCUCUCAGCUUCUUGUACACCUAACCUUUCAUCCUCCUCUAGUGAAAGCUAAUUUUCAAGAUAAGAUCUGAUAAACCCAUUCAGUAGAAUGCACACAAUGGCUAUGACAAUUAAUCCAUGCUUCCAAGAGGGACUUGCUUUACAACAAAGACCAAAAUAAGACUAUAAACUCCUGGAGGACAGAACCACACCCAGAUUCUUUAUCACUGGCAUUCCUCAUCCCUGGCACCAUGGCUGGAAGUUAUUUAGGUUUUGACCAAUAUUUAUUAAACGAAUUAAAGAAAUCAGACCAAUAAACAAUCUACUACCUCCUCUAAAUGUUAGCACUUUCUGUGACAUGGAGAUAAAAGCCUGUUUUCAUGACUGUUCUAAGACCUAUAAGACCUUGGCACAAUAAAGGUAACCAUCUCUCAGUGUUACCUUAGCUUUCAAAUCCCCUUUUAAAACACCAAUGGAUCUUAUUUACGCUUUUAGUUUUUCACACCAGAGAAGCAUUCAGUAUUUACACAUGUGUGUCUUAUUUAUUUCACUUAAGAGUAUGGCCUUAAUAUGCAUCCAUUUUCCUAUGAAUGACUCUAGUUUUUCUAGGAAAAAAAUGGAAACAAAGUCUUUGUAAAUAGGAGAGGGUGGAGAGAGUGAAGAGAGGGCAGGGGUAUGGGGAAAAAUUGAGAACCAAGAACUGUCAUGUAAGGGUAUAAGACCCCAGUGAUGAAUAUAACUGUACUGUAUAUUUAAAAAGUACGAAUAAACUCAAUAAGAUAAAAAAAAAACCAAUGGGAUUAUUCUAGUGAUGAGGAAUUUUGUCCUAAAAAUUGACAAUAUAAAUGGAAAGAGUUAUGAGACUGAAGACAUAUCACCACAGGAGAUUAAAAAAUGGAAAAUAUGGCUCUAAAGUUUCAAUUUGAUUCAACAAGGGGCCCAAAUCUCUGAAUCACCUUGUAGCUCUCACAAACAUUCAGAGCCUUUGGCCGC
Fukomys damarensis (Damara mole-rat) is the source of this 2111-nucleotide long non-coding RNA. Lineage: Eukaryota; Metazoa; Chordata; Mammalia; Rodentia; Bathyergidae. The record is from Ensembl.